AACCUGCCCAAGAGAUCGGGAUAACACCUGGAAACAGAUGCUAAUACCGGAUAACAACAGAUGAUGCCUAGCAACUGUUUAAAAGAUGGUUCUGCUAUCACUCUUGGAUGGACCUGCGGUGCAUUAGCUAGUUGGUAGGGUAACGGCCUACCAAGGCGAUGAUGCAUAGCCGAGUUGAGAGACUGAUCGGCCACAUUGGGACUGAGACACGGCCCAAACUCCUACGGGAGGCAGCAGCC
This 239-nucleotide ribosomal RNA is filed under the name uncultured Lactobacillus sp. RNAcentral's name for it is "partial 16S ribosomal RNA". It matches the Rfam family "Bacterial small subunit ribosomal RNA", at positions 123 to 355 of the family's 1533-position model. Lineage: Bacteria; Bacillati; Bacillota; Bacilli; Lactobacillales; Lactobacillaceae. The record is from RNAcentral.